CUGCACCCUCAGGCUCUUCUGUCUGUGGGAGUCAUUUCACCCUUCCUGGGGAACAGAUACAUCGCUGAGCUAUUUCGUGUUAUUUUUCAACCUAAUGAAUACCACACACAUGACUUGCGAAUGUGCGCGGUGCUAGCGGAUGAAUCUCAGAAAAGGAGUCCAUUUCAGGAAGAUUAAGGAUAAAGAAGGCGCAGACAAAAGAGAAAGGAGAAAAGGUUGACCGUACCAAGAGGAGGGAAGAGACUCCUGCUGACCUUUGUUACAAGGACAAUGAGAAACAAGAAGCACCCACCACAAGGGCGCAGAGACAUGGGCAAGAAAUUCAUUUUGUAUCAAGGGCCAAUACCUGUUUCCACAAGAAAAAAUGUUCACAGGAAAACAUGGUGAGUAGGACUGCAGAAAUCUUGCUGGGGAGCAAUGGAAAGAGGGACACGUUA
RNAcentral lists this long non-coding RNA (437 nucleotides) under Fukomys damarensis (Damara mole-rat). Its description in RNAcentral is "lncRNA (ENSFDAG00000024636.1)". Lineage: Eukaryota; Metazoa; Chordata; Mammalia; Rodentia; Bathyergidae. The record is from RNAcentral.